Molecule: ribosomal RNA, 253 nt
Filed under: uncultured bacterium
Lineage: Bacteria
Description: partial 16S ribosomal RNA
Rfam family: Bacterial small subunit ribosomal RNA
Source: RNAcentral
UACGUAGGGUGCAAGCGUUGUCCGGAAUUAUUGGGCGUAAAGAGCUCGUAGGCGGUCUGUUGCGUCGGCUGUGAAAACCCGGGGCUCAACCCCGGGCCUGCAGCCGAUACGGGCAGGCUAGAGUUCGGCAGGGGAGACUGGAAUUCCUGGUGUAGCGGUGAAAUGCGCAGAUAUCAGGAGGAACACCGGUGGCGAAGGCGGGUCUCUGGGCCGAUACUGACGCUGAGGAGCGAAAGCGUGGGGAGCGAACAGG